UACAGAGGGGGCAAGCGUUGUUCGGAAUUACUGGGCGUAAAGGGCGCGUAGGCGGCCUGUUAAGUCGAACGUGAAAUCCCCGGGCUCAACCCGGGAACUGCGUCCGAUACUGGCAGGCUUGAAUUCGGGAGAGGGAUGCGGAAUUCCAGGUGUAGCGGUGAAAUGCGUAGAUAUCUGGAGGAACACCGGUGGCGAAGGCGGCAUCCUGGACCAAUUCUGACACUGAGGAGCGAAAGCCAGGGGAGCAAACGGG
Molecule: ribosomal RNA, 253 nt
Filed under: uncultured bacterium
Lineage: Bacteria
Description: partial 16S ribosomal RNA
Rfam family: Bacterial small subunit ribosomal RNA
Source: RNAcentral